AGGUGGUUGAAAAAGUUGGUGGUGAAAUCCCAGAGCUUAACUCUGGAACUGCCAUCAAAACUUUUCAGCUAGAGUUUGAUAGAGGAAAGCAGAAUUUCUAGUGUAGAGGUGAAAUUCGUAGAUAUUAGAAAGAAUACCAAUUGCGAAGGCAGCUUUCUGGAUCAUUACUGACACUGAGGAACGAAAGCAUGGGUAGCGAAGAGGAUUAGAUACCCUCGUAGUCCAUGCCGUAAACGAUGUGUGUUAGACGUUGGAAAUUUAUUUUCAGUGUCGCAGCGAAAGCGAUAAACACACCGCCUGGGGAGUACGACCGCAAGGUUAAAACUCAAAUGAAUUGACGGGGACCCGCACAAGUAGUGGAGCAUGUGGUUUAAUUCGAAGAUACGCGCAGAACCUUACCAACACUUGACAUGUUCGUCGCGACUUUAAGAGAUUAAAGUUUUCGGUUCGGCCGGACGAAACACAGGUGCUGCAUGGCUGUCGUCAGCUCGUGUCGUGAGAUGUUGGGUUAAGUCCCGCAACGAGCGCAACCCUCACUUUUAGUUGCCAUCAUUAAGUUGGGCACUCUGAAAGAACUGCCAGUGAUAAGCUGGAGGAAGGUGGGGAUGACGUCAAGUCCUCAUGGCCCUUACGUGUUGGGCUACACACGUGCUACAAUGAUAUUUACAAAAGGAAGCAAAACGGCGACGUUUAGCAAAUCCUAAAAAAAUAUCUCAGUUCGGAUUGCACUCUGCAACUCGAGUGCAUGAAGCUGGAAUUACUAGUAAUCGUGGAUCAGCGUGCCACGGUGAAUGCGUUCCCGGGUCUUGUACACACCGCCCGUCACACCAUGGGAGUUGGUUCUACCUUAAGGCAAGGUUUAAAACCCUUGACCACGGUAUAGUCAGCGACUGGGGUGAAGUCGUAACAAGGUAGCCG
RNAcentral lists this ribosomal RNA (918 nucleotides) under uncultured bacterium. Its description in RNAcentral is "bacterial SSU rRNA". It matches the Rfam family "Bacterial small subunit ribosomal RNA", at positions 573 to 1502 of the family's 1533-position model. The record is from RNAcentral.